CCCUUAGAUGUUCUGGGCCGCACGCGUGCUACACUGAGUGGAUCAGCGGGUCAGGUUGCGCGAAAGCGUUUCCUAAUCUUUAAAUCCGCUCGUGAUGGGGAUUGACGGUUGCAAUUUUCUGUCAUGAACGAGGAAUACCAUGUAAGCGCGGGUCAUCAUCCCGCGCUGAAUACGUCCCUGCCCUUUGUACACACCGCCCGUCGCUCCUACCGAUUGAAGUUUUCGGUGAGUUGACAGGAGGAUUUUUUUGAAACUGGUUCGCCAGUGGAUUUUAGAUCCAAAUGCCAACGAAUCGAUGGCUUUAGAGGAAGGAGAAGUCGUAACA
RNAcentral lists this ribosomal RNA (325 nucleotides) under uncultured eukaryote. Its description in RNAcentral is "partial 18S ribosomal RNA". It matches the Rfam family "Eukaryotic small subunit ribosomal RNA", at positions 1470 to 1796 of the family's 1831-position model. The record is from RNAcentral.